UACGGGGGGGGUAAGCGUUGUUCGGAAUCACUGGGCUUAAAGGGCGCGUAGGCGGGUGCUCAAGUCCGUGGUGAAAUCCUCCGGCUCAACCGGAGAACUGCCUCGGAUACUGGGCGUCUCGAGUGUGGUAGGGGUAUGCGGAACUAUCGGUGGAGCGGUGAAAUGCGUUGAUAUCGAUAGGAACUCCGGUGGCGAAGGCGGCAUACUGGACCACCACUGACGCUGAUGCGCGAAAGCCAGGGGAGCAAACGGG
This 253-nucleotide ribosomal RNA is filed under the name uncultured bacterium. Its description in RNAcentral is "partial 16S ribosomal RNA". It matches the Rfam family "Bacterial small subunit ribosomal RNA", at positions 524 to 776 of the family's 1533-position model. The record is from RNAcentral.